This 253-nucleotide ribosomal RNA is filed under the name uncultured bacterium. RNAcentral's name for it is "partial 16S ribosomal RNA". It matches the Rfam family "Bacterial small subunit ribosomal RNA", at positions 524 to 776 of the family's 1533-position model. The record is from RNAcentral.
UACGUAGGGGGCAAGCGUUGUCCGGAUUUAUUGGGCGUAAAGGGCUCGUAGGCGGCCAACUAAGUCAGACGUGAAAUCCCCAGGCUCAACCUGGGAACUGCGUCUGAUACUGGAUGGCUUGAAUCCGGGAGAGGGAUGCAGAAUUCCAGGUGUAGCGGUGAAAUGCGUAGAUAUCUGGAGGAAUACCGGUGGCGAAGGCGGCAUCCUGGACCGGCAUUGACGCUGAGGAGCGAAAGCUAGGGGAGCAAACGGG